AUAUAGUUUCAAGGAUAAUUGUGUUGAAGAAUCUCUUGCGGCCUCAGAUGUAGAGUUUGUAGAGCAGUUCCCUAGAGUACAAAAAGCCAUGGCCUUGAUUCCCAGAACUAAAGAAACUGUGUAUGGUCCAAGUAGAAGGUUCAGAAGGUCAAGGUCAUUCUUGUCUUCAUAGUGAGUUCCUGGCCAGCCCAGGAUGCAGGAGACUCUAUCUUUAAAAAACAAACAAACAAAGCCAGGCAUGGAAAUGCACACCUUUAAUCCCAUCACUUGAGAGGCAGAGGCAGGUGGAGGUCAAGGCCAGGUUGGUCUACAGAGUGAGUUCCAGGACAGCCAGGACUACACAGAGAAACCCUGCCUCAACAAACAAACAAUCUAACAAAAAGAACCUAUUGAUAUAUGCAACUUAGUAGAUGUUCUUUUAAAAAGGAAAAUAUUGCUUGGUUUUUAAAGUUUUUUAAAGCUUUUAUUAUCUUUUCAUGUUCUUGAAAAAUGAUUUGGGCUGGCUUACUAAAUAAGAUAUUAGUACCUUGCUUCUAAGUCUUAGUUCUGAUUUACAUAUUAAAUUAUGCAUGAUAAUUAUGCAAAUAGCUCACAAUAGCAAACAAUACCAAGUUUUGCCAAGCAUCUCUCCACUUCCACCAUCCUUAUAAAAUCCCAUGAGUUAACGGCGCUGCUAUUAGUUCUGUUCUUCAGGGGGAGCCAUGAGUCAGAAACAUGUAAGUGCAUCAUACCACCUCCUUUGAAAGGAGAAUUCAAAAACAGUAUAAUUUAUUUCCCCUGAAUGUCUUUACACAGGUUUUCAUUGAAAAUAUUGUUGAUGAAUGCACUUUUAGAAUUGUCAGAUCUGUCCUGAGAAUGUGUGAUUUCUGUAAUUAAGUGUAGGUUUGAUUCCUGUUCUCAUACCUGAUGAAGUUCAGGAUCUUAGUUCUUAAGAAUGCAAAACAAUGGCAGUUGACAACUGCUGUGACUCCAGUCUCAAAGGCUCUGACCUCCUCUUGUGGCCUGAGGGCCACCAGGCAUGCAUGUGGAAAUAAGUUCAUGCACAAACAUACAUGCAUACAUAUAUAAAAUAAAUAUUUUUUAAAAUAACUAAAUGUCUGUCUCCUGUGUUGUGAUGAUUAUUGGAAUAUGACAUCUAAAUGCUUUUGUUCACAGUUCAAACACCUAAAGGGCUCACUAAGUGUUGGUCCCACAGUGAUAGUCUUCCAUUUCUUAUGCAUCAUAUGUGUAUAAUACGAACUAUACUGUUGUCCCAGCUAAUCCUGGAGUUCUGUCCCAGAGCCAGAGUUAAUCCUUGUCAUUUGUAUAUGUCUUCCAGUCAGAGGAGACUGGAUUCAAGUCAUACAUGUUUUUAAAGAUAAACACAGUUUUCUCAUCCUACAACAAGUAAAAUCUAGGACACCAUUAAGAUGACUGCAGCAGCGACCGAUCUCCGGAUGCACUGCUUGUGCUUCUGUGUCUACCUUUGUCCCAGCCUUGUUUAUCCCUCUCUCCAUUCCCAGUGCCUCUCUUCCUAUUUUGAUAUUCUUGUUUUAUGUCUCUUGAGGAUGUUGGAUGUUUAUUAUGGUCCCUAAAUGGACAGAUUUUUCCCUGGGCUGUAAAACUCUGUUCCUGGCAUGUUCUUGGCAUAUGGUUUUUGCCUGGGCGGGGCUGCUGAGCGGGGGUCCCAGUGGUGCCGAGGCGUCAGUGCCCUUUGUUCUUGCUGGUGAGAGUAUGACAUUAGUGGUUUCAGCUCUUGUUGACCCUGUUCUAAGCCAGAGCUUUAUGGCCUUUAAAGCACAGGGUAUGUUUUCUUGUGAUACUUUGGAAUGAAAGAAAGAAAACUUGUCUAAAUUUACAACUGGUUUCAUUUACCAAAAUGACUAUUUCACUUGGAAAGUUUUGUCUUUUCUGAAGAAACUUCAGGAGAUGGGUGGGCUUGGUGUCCUCUCUCACCCUCCACCUCCCAGCCCACACAUCUGCACUAACAGAUGCUAAGGACUUUAUUCCACGUUUGAGAUAGGCAGAACUUUGAGAAGGAAUAAUCAAGUCAUAAAUUUUUUCUUUUGUUUAAAGAAACAUUUUAAAAAUACAAAUCAUUAGAAUGUUCCCACUUUAUGUAACUGAAUAAAGGAAAACAUUUAGUGAGAAGGAAGGUCCCUGUGGCAGCAGUGGUGGCAGCUUCAGGAAACCUUGAUGCUACUGAGAUCUGUGUCCUUCAGAUCUGCACUUAAUCUCAUACUUGAGUUAUUGGACUGAUUUAAGGUCUUGGUAACUUAGGAUUCAUGUUAGCGCCAUGACCUUCAAAACAGAUGUUUAAAGUGCUCCAAACUAUUCUUCUACUCUUAGGCUCAAGAGAAAGCAAGUAUUUCUUUUAUGCAUAAAGAAAUAAAACAAAACCUUACACCUUAGAUCUAAGGAGAUGGUUCAGCAGUACAGAACACUUACUGCUCUUCUGUAAGCCCCAGGUUUGAGUCCCAGCACUCCUGUUGGGUGGCUUACAAUCACCUGUAACUCAGCCACAGGGGUUCCAGCUUCUUCUUCUGGACUCCUUGGGCACUGCAAUUACACAUACAUAUACCCAUACCUGUGUACACAUAAAUACAAAUAAUAAAAAGUAAGUUAAAACUUCUUGACCCAAGCUUCUGAGGAGGCCUCUGUAACAUUUUUGGGUAGCAUAAGUCCUGUUUGUAAGGCGUAGCUGAGCAGUUGAAGCUUUGUGAAGAUUUGGUCCCACUGUUGGCUCAGCUAUGGCUCUUAAUGGAGCUGUUCUUUCCCUCCAUCUCUUUCUUCCCCCAUUUCUCAUGAGAAUAAAACAGUGAGUUGGGUAGUGUUUAAUAAUAUUUAUUGAAAGCUGCCCACCAUAGGGCACAGCUUUUUGGAAAACUGCCUUGCUCCAGCUUGCUUUUCCAACCAAGUAUUUAACCCAAAUCUGAACUUGGCAUCCGUUAGGCCUGCAGUUCUUUUAAACCAAAUGAUCACAGCCGAACCUGGGUGGAGCCUAGUUUCAUGUGUGAGGUUUUCAAUAAAACCAAAGUGGAGUGUGGGUAGAAAACCAAAGCCAGGAAAAGUGGCGACUGUGCUGACACCAGAGGAAAACCUACAGGCCUCUUACACCUUGUGGGUUCAGAGUUGGGACAAAAUUAAACAGAGGCAGUGCUUUGGUCCAUCCUGGACUCAUGGAGACAGAGGCAAACUGGGCUAGUGUGGUGAGUUUGUGUGGUGAGUUUGUUACAUACUCAUGGGAUUUUAUUUUUAUUUAUUAGUGGAAGAGGGGUGUGUGUGUGUGUGUGUGUGUGUGUGUGUGUGUGUGUUAUAAACCUUGGGGUAGGGAUACAACUCAGUUGGUAGUGUACUUGUGUGGAAUACAGAAAUCCCGGAGUUUAGUGCCCAGACUUUCUAUAUGAUGGUACAGAGUGUGAAGGCUCAAGGCUAUCCUUGCUUACAUAGAUAGUAACACACCAACCCAGCCUAGGCCUCAUAAUACCCUGCCUUUUUAAAAUAAAUAAACAUAUGUUUGUUUGUUUGUUUUAUACUAUGUUAACCUCAAUUUAAAAAUAUAUAAGUUGCCUUUAGUGGAGAAAGUCAUUUUAGUUUAGAUAUUUAUUUUAUUUCCAUUGGAUUUGAACAUUGAAAUAUAUAGCAGUUCACUGGCACUCACCUUUAAUCUAUAAAUCUCAACAGUCAAGAGGCAGAGAGCCAGUUCAAGGCCAGCCUGGUCUACAAAGUGUGUUCCAGAACAGCCAGAAACCCUAUCUC
This 3738-nucleotide long non-coding RNA is filed under the name Mus musculus (house mouse). RNAcentral's name for it is "long non-coding RNA chr11:85598479-85602217". Lineage: Eukaryota; Metazoa; Chordata; Mammalia; Rodentia; Muridae. The record is from RNAcentral.